RNAcentral lists this ribosomal RNA (253 nucleotides) under uncultured bacterium. RNAcentral describes it as "partial 16S ribosomal RNA". It matches the Rfam family "Bacterial small subunit ribosomal RNA", at positions 524 to 776 of the family's 1533-position model. The record is from RNAcentral.
UACGUAAGGGGCAAGCGUUGUCCGGAAUCACUGGGCGUAAAGCGCACGUAGGCGGUUUAGUAAGUUGAGGGUGUAAGCUCCAGGCUUAACCUGGAAAUUGCCUCCAAAACUACUUUACUUGAGUAUUAGAGGGGAAGCUGGAAUUCACGGUGUAGCGGUGAAAUGCGUAGAUAUCGUGGAGAACACCCGUGGCGAAGGCGGGCUUCUGGCUAAUGACUGACGCUGAGGUGCGAAAGCUAGGGGAGCGAACGGG